Molecule: ribosomal RNA, 302 nt
Filed under: uncultured Lactobacillus sp.
Lineage: Bacteria; Bacillati; Bacillota; Bacilli; Lactobacillales; Lactobacillaceae
Description: bacterial SSU rRNA
Rfam family: Bacterial small subunit ribosomal RNA
Source: RNAcentral
CAUUAGCUAGUUGGUAAGGUAAAGGCUUACCAAGGGCGAUGAUGCAUAGCCCGAGUUGAGAGACUGAUCGGCCACAUUGGGGACUGAGACACGGGCCCAAACUCCUACGGGAGGCAGCAGUAGGGAAUCUUCCACAAUGGACGCAAGUCUGAUGGAGCAAACGCCGCGUGAGUGAAGAAGGUUUUCGGAUCGUAAAGCUCUGUUGUUGGUGAAAGAAGGAUAGAGGUAGUAACUGGCCCUUUAUUUGACGGUAAUCAACCAGAAAGUCACGGGCUAACUACGUGCCAGCAGCCGCGGUAAAU